UACAGAGGGGGCAAGCGUUGUUCGGAAUUACUGGGCGUAAAGGGCGCGUAGGCGGCCUGUUAAGUCGGACGUGAAAUCCCUCGGCUCAACCGGGGAACUGCGUCCGAUACUGGCGGGCUUGAAUUUGGGAGAGGGAUGUGGAAUUCCAGGUGUAGCGGUGAAAUGCGUAGAUAUCUGGAGGAACACCGGUGGCGAAGGCGGCAUCCUGGACCGACAUUGACGCUGAGGCGCGAAAGCCAGGGGAGCAAACGGG
RNAcentral lists this ribosomal RNA (253 nucleotides) under uncultured bacterium. RNAcentral describes it as "partial 16S ribosomal RNA". It matches the Rfam family "Bacterial small subunit ribosomal RNA", at positions 524 to 776 of the family's 1533-position model. The record is from RNAcentral.